GAGCUUAACACAUGCAAGUCGAGCGAAGCACUUAAGUGGAUCUCUUCGGAUUGAAACUUAUUUGACUGAGCGGCGGACGGGUGAGUAACGCGUGGGUAACCUGCCUCAUACAGGGGGAUAACAGUUAGAAAUGGCUGCUAAUACCGCAUAAGCGCACAAGACCGCAUGGGCUGGUGUGAAAAACUCCGGAGGUAUGAGAUGGACCCGCGUCUGAUUAGCUAGUUAGAGGGGCAACGGCCCACCAAAGCAACGAUCAGUAGCCGGCCUGAGAGGGUGAACGGCCACAUUGGGACUGAGACACGGCCCAGACUCUUACGGGAGGCAGCAGUGGGGAAUAUUGCACAAUGGGGGAAACCCCGAUGCAGCGACGCCGAAAAAAGGAAGAAGUAUCUCGGUAUGUAAACUUCUAUCAGCAGGGAAGAAAAUGACGGUACCUGACUAAGAAGCCCCGGCUAACUACGUGCCAGCAGCCGCGGUAAUACGUAGGGGGCAAGCGUUAUCCGGAUUUACUGGGUGUAAAGGGAGCGUAGACGGAAGAGCAAGUCUGAUGUGAAAGGCUGGGGCUUAACCCCAGGACUGCAUUGGAAACUGUUUUUCUAGAGUGCCGGAGAGGUAAGCGGAAUUCCUAGUGUAGCGGUGAAAUGCGUAGAUAUUAGGAGGAACACCAGUGGCGAAGGCGGCUUACUGGACGGUAACUGACGUUGAGGCUCGAAAGCGUGGGGAGCAAA
Molecule: ribosomal RNA, 728 nt
Filed under: uncultured bacterium
Lineage: Bacteria
Description: bacterial SSU rRNA
Rfam family: Bacterial small subunit ribosomal RNA
Source: RNAcentral